UAAUACGGAGGGUGCAAGCGUUAUCCGGAAUCACUGGGUUUAAAGGGUGCGUAGGCGGUGAGAUAAGUCAGUCGUGAAAUCUCUUGGCUUAACCAAUGAAAUUGCGAUUGAUACUGUUUUACUUGAAAGAGGUUGAGGUCAGCGGAAUGUGGCAUGUAGCGGUGAAAUGCAUAGAUAUGCCAUAGAACACCGAUUGCGAAGGCAGCUGGCUGGACCUACUUUGACGCUGAGGCACGAAAGCGUGGGGAGCAAACAGGAUUAGAUACCCUGGUAGUCCACGCCCUAAACGAUGUUUACUUGCUGUUCGGGUCUUGUACUUGAGUGGCGAAGCGAAAGCGAUAAGUAAACCACCUGGGGAGUACGCCGGCAACGGUG
RNAcentral lists this ribosomal RNA (375 nucleotides) under uncultured bacterium. Its description in RNAcentral is "bacterial SSU rRNA". It matches the Rfam family "Bacterial small subunit ribosomal RNA", at positions 521 to 896 of the family's 1533-position model. The record is from RNAcentral.